This 396-nucleotide unclassified non-coding RNA is filed under the name soil metagenome. RNAcentral describes it as "partial contains 5.8S ribosomal RNA, internal transcribed spacer 2, and large subunit ribosomal RNA". The stretch from base 1 to 122 matches the Rfam family "5.8S ribosomal RNA", at positions 35 to 154 of the family's 154-position model. The record is from RNAcentral.
GAUGAAGAACGUAGCGAAAUGCGAUACUUGGUGUGAAUUGCAGAAUCCCGUGAACCAUCGAGUCUUUGAACGCAAGUUGCGCCCGAAGCCAUUUGGUUGAGGGCACGUCUGCCUGGGCGUCACAUAUCGUUGCCCGAUGCUUAUUGCACUGUGAUAGGAAAUUCUAGGGCGAAAGAUGGCUUCCCGUGAGCGUUGUUGCCUCGCGGUUGGUUGAAAAUUGAGUCCUUGGUAGGGUGUGCCAUGAUAGAUGGUGGUCGAGUUUGCACGAGACCGAUCAUGUGUGCGCUCCCCAAAAUAUGGACUCUUUGACCCCACACGCGUCUUUUGACGCUCAUGACGAGACCUCAGGUCAGGCGGGGCUACCCGCUGAGUUUAAGCAUAUCAAUAAGCGGAGGA